AUCUAGGUGACUCAGUGGAUGGAGCACUGGGCUUGGAAUUCAGAAAAACUGAGUUCAAAUCUGGACUCAGAUG
This 73-nucleotide transfer RNA is filed under the name Monodelphis domestica (gray short-tailed opossum). It matches the Rfam family "tRNA". Rfam says of the family: Transfer RNA (tRNA) molecules are approximately 80 nucleotides in length. Their secondary structure includes four short double-helical elements and three loops (D, anti-codon, and T loops). Further hydrogen bonds mediate the characteristic L-shaped molecular structure. tRNAs have two regions of fundamental functional importance: the anti-codon, which is responsible for specific mRNA codon recognition, and the 3' end, to which the tRNAs corresponding amino acid is attached (by aminoacyl-tRNA synthetases). tRNAs cope with the degeneracy of the genetic code in two manners: having more than one tRNA (with a specific anti-codon) for a particular amino acid; and 'wobble' base-pairing, i.e. permitting non-standard base-pairing at the 3rd anti-codon position. The record is from Rfam by way of RNAcentral. Lineage: Eukaryota; Metazoa; Chordata; Mammalia; Didelphimorphia; Didelphidae.